UGGGGAAUAUUGGACAAUGGGCGCAAGCCUGAUCCAGCCAUGCCGCGUGUGUGAAGAAGGUCUUCGGAUUGUAAAGCACUUUAAGUUGGGAGGAAGGGCUGUAAGCGAAUACCUUGCAGUUUUGACGUUACCGACAGAAUAAGCACCGGCUAACUUCGUGCCAGCGGCCGCGGUAAUACGAAGGGUGCAAGCGUUAAUCGGAAUUACUGGGCGUAAAGCGCGCGUAGGUGGUUUGGUAAGUUGGAUGUGAAAGCCCCGGGCUCAACCUGGGAACUGCAUCCAAAACUGCCUGACUAGAGUACGGUAGAGGGUGAUGGAAUUUCCUGUGUAGCGGUGAAAUGCGUAGAUAUAGGAAGGAACACCAGUGGCGAAGGCGACCACCUGGACUGAUACUGACACUGAGGUGCGAAAGCGUGGGGAGCAAA
RNAcentral lists this ribosomal RNA (425 nucleotides) under uncultured bacterium. RNAcentral describes it as "bacterial SSU rRNA". It matches the Rfam family "Bacterial small subunit ribosomal RNA", at positions 355 to 772 of the family's 1533-position model. The record is from RNAcentral.